Sinocyclocheilus anshuiensis is the source of this 608-nucleotide long non-coding RNA. RefSeq lists it as uncharacterized. The record is from RefSeq and is a predicted model, not a curated record. NCBI's taxonomy places the organism in Eukaryota, Metazoa, Chordata, Actinopteri, Cypriniformes, Cyprinidae. The transcript has 3 exons.
CAGCUAUGCUAAUCUUUCUCCUUUUGUUUUCCUGUUUCUAUCUCGGGAUGCCCAUCCCAAGGUUACUAGAGAUUACGCCAGUUCCAGUUUGGAUCCAGCCUCGCUUGUGAAGACUUCAGAAGAUGCCAACACUCAAAGAUUUCAGAUGAUGACAAACUAUAGAUGAACAUGCAAAGCUGCCGAAUAAUCCUUAUAUUGUAAUCGUUGCCCUAAAAGGGAGGAACUUGUGAACAAAUCUACUUCACACCACAUCAAUGAAAGCAGACGGGCAGACGACAAUUACAGACGGUUUUAUUGGAUCAGGGUCAGAUCUGAAUUCUGCAGGUAGGUUUUCUGGGAUGACAGUUGAGGACAUCAGCACAUCAGAUGUUGGCCUGGACAGCUGUACCUACAGUACACCACACUGACCUAAGCUUUUGCGCGGAUGGCUGACUACUACCAUGUUCUGUGAAGGUAUUAUUAUAGCAAACCUGAGCAACUGUGACAGUGGAAUUUGUAGUUGUAAUGAAUAGUCAGACAUGCAUAUUGGUAAAUUUGAAGUCACAGAGAAAAAGGUUUUUUUAGGACUUGCAAUUUUUUAAAUUUUUGUACUAAUUCUCUUUAACAAA